GGGCCCGCACAAGCGGUGGAGUAUGUGGUUUAAUUCGAUGCAACGCGAAGAACCUUACCAGGGUUUGACAUCCUGCGAAUCUCUUGGAAACAGGAGAGUGCCUUCGGGAACGCAGUGACAGGUGGUGCAUGGCUGUCGUCAGCUCGUGUCGUGAGAUGUUGGGUUAAGUCCCGCAACGAGCGCAACCCACGUCUUUAGUUGCCAGCAUUUAGUUGGGGACUCAUAGGAGACUGCCGGUGAUAAACCGGAGGAAGGUGUGGAUGACGUCAAGUCAUCAUGCCCCUUACAUCCUGGGCUACACACGUACUACAAUGCUACGGACAAAGGGCAGCAAGUUCGCGAGGACAAGCAAAUCCCAUAAACCGUGGCUC
RNAcentral lists this ribosomal RNA (371 nucleotides) under uncultured bacterium. RNAcentral describes it as "bacterial SSU rRNA". It matches the Rfam family "Bacterial small subunit ribosomal RNA", at positions 917 to 1289 of the family's 1533-position model. The record is from RNAcentral.